CCAAUAGCGUAUAUUAAAGUUGUUGCAGUUAAAAAGCUCGUAGUUGAAUUUCGGGAUCAAUAUGCCGGUCAUGCCUUGGUAUGCACUGGUAUCUUUGAUUUCUUCCUUUUGACGAACUUUGAUGUCAUUAAUUUGGUGUCAUAGGGAAUCAGGACUGUUACUUUGAAAAAAUUAGAGUGUUUAAAGCAGGCUCAGGCUUG
Molecule: ribosomal RNA, 200 nt
Filed under: uncultured Glomus
Lineage: Eukaryota; Fungi; Glomeromycota; Glomeromycetes; Glomerales; Glomeraceae
Description: partial small subunit ribosomal RNA
Rfam family: Eukaryotic small subunit ribosomal RNA
Source: RNAcentral